GACGAACGCUGGCGGCGUGCCUAAUACAUGCAAGUCGAGCGGACUUUCAAGAAGCUUGCUUUUUGAAAGUUAGCGGCGGACGGGUGAGUAACACGUGGGCAACCUGCCUGCAAGACGGGGAUAACUCCGGGAAACCGGGGCUAAUACCGGAUAAUAUCUUCCUUCGCAUGAAGGAAGGUUGAAAGGCGGCGCAAGCUGCCGCUUGCAGAUGGGCCCGCGGCGCAUUAGCUAGUUGGUGAGGUAACGGCUCACCAAGGCGACGAUGCGUAGCCGACCUGAGAGGGUGAGCGGCCACACUGGGACUGAGACACGGCCCAGACUCCUACGGGAGGCAGCAGUAGGGAAUCUUCCGCAAUGGACGAAAGUCUGACGGAGCAACGCCGCGUGAGCGAAGAAGGGCUUCGGAUCGUAAAGCUCUGUUGUCAGGGAAGAACAAGUACCGUUCGAACAGGGCGGUACCUUGACGGUACCUGACCAGAAAGCCACGGCUAACUACGUG
This 499-nucleotide ribosomal RNA is filed under the name uncultured bacterium. Its description in RNAcentral is "partial 16S ribosomal RNA". It matches the Rfam family "Bacterial small subunit ribosomal RNA", at positions 28 to 507 of the family's 1533-position model. The record is from RNAcentral.